Long non-coding RNA from Ficedula albicollis (Collared flycatcher), 364 nucleotides. RefSeq lists it as uncharacterized. The record is from RefSeq and is a predicted model, not a curated record. Lineage: Eukaryota; Metazoa; Chordata; Aves; Passeriformes; Muscicapidae. The transcript is spliced from 3 exons.
GGAAGCAGACACAAAGUGUCCCUCUCCUCUGCGCUGGGUCCAUCUUCUCCAUCCCCAGGGGAGCAGAAGGUGCUUUGCUGACAUUUAUGAGGAAAACUCUUGACUGAAUACACAGGUUUGGAAUAACAUCAUUCUCUGAUCCUAGAAGCCAGGGUUUUGUAGCAGUGUGCUACCUAAAGGAAUCUAAGGGAUCAAUCGCUGCAGCUUCUCUGACAUUGCUUCUCUGUUGCCUGUCCUGCUUACUCUUCCAGUGGGAAACACCAUGAGCACUAACCAGCGAAAGCGCCGUGGAGAAGCAGCUGAUUCUGGUCAAGCUCAGAAACGCAGCAGGCUGCUGGCUCCCAGCACAGGUGGAGCUUCUGAG